This 530-nucleotide ribosomal RNA is filed under the name uncultured bacterium. RNAcentral describes it as "bacterial SSU rRNA". It matches the Rfam family "Bacterial small subunit ribosomal RNA", at positions 28 to 526 of the family's 1533-position model. The record is from RNAcentral.
GACGAACGCUGGCGGCGUGCCUAAUACAUGCAAGUCGAACGAGAAAUUCUUACACCGGAUGCUUGCAUCCACCGUAAGAUUUCGAGUGGCGGACGGGUGAGUAACACGUGGGUAACCUGCCCAUCAGAAGGGGAUAACACUUGGAAACAGGUGCUAAUACCGUAUAACAAUCGAAACCGCAUGGUUUUGAUUUGAAAGGCGCUUUCGGGUGUCGCUGAUGGAUGGACCCGCGGUGCAUUAGCUAGUUGGUGAGGUAACGGCUCACCAAGGCGACGAUGCAUAGCCGACCUGAGAGGGUGAUCGGCCACAUUGGGACUGAGACACGGCCCAAACUCCUACGGGAGGCAGCAGUAGGGAAUCUUCGGCAAUGGACGAAAGUCUGACCGAGCAACGCCGCGUGAAUGAAGAAGGUCUUCGGAUCGUAAAGUUCUGUUAUUAGAGAAGAACACGUGUAAGAGUAACUGAUUAUGCGUUGACGGUAUCUAAUCAGCAAGUCACGGCUAACUACGUGCCAGCCGCCGCAGUAACAC